This 441-nucleotide unclassified non-coding RNA is filed under the name Hevea brasiliensis (rubber tree). The record is from RNAcentral. Lineage: Eukaryota; Viridiplantae; Streptophyta; Magnoliopsida; Malpighiales; Euphorbiaceae.
UCCUUCUUCUUCCUCUUCUUCUUCUUCUUAUAUUCCAAUCUGAUCAAGCUCUUUACUGUUUCUGUUGAAUCCCUUUACCAGCUGCUCCUGUAAUGGCCAGGUCUCUGGUUGUGCCUCUAGCAGCUACAGCACCAUCCCAGCAAUCUUCUUUGUUCCCAAAUUUCCCUUUACAUUCCCAUUCCGUUCCAUCCAAAACCCUUUCCUUUGCCCUUCACAACUCUUCUAAUUGUUAUACCCACUAUACUCUAACUUCACUUUAUCGCCGCCUAGCUCCUGUUGCCGCUCUAGACUCCGACGUUCCUCACUCUCUUCACCAGGGAUCAGCGAAUGUGAAACGCGGUAAGACCUUUGAACAAUGGGAUUCGUGGACAGCGAAAUUUGCCGGAGCAGCAAAUAUCCCAUUUUUGUUACUUCAAAUGCCUCAGAUCAUCCUCAACGCAC